Molecule: ribosomal RNA, 460 nt
Filed under: uncultured bacterium
Lineage: Bacteria
Description: partial 16S ribosomal RNA
Rfam family: Bacterial small subunit ribosomal RNA
Source: RNAcentral
CCUACGGGUGGCAGCAGUGAGGAAUAUUGGUCAAUGGCCGGAAGGCUGAACCAGCCAUGCCGCGUGAAGGUCAGUGCCCUAUGGGCGUUAAACUUCUUUUGUGUGGGAGCAAUAAUGGUCACGUGUGGCCAGACGAGAGUACCGUACGAAUAAGCAUCGGCUAACUCCGGGCCAGCAGCCGCGGUAAUACGGGGGGUGCAAGCGUUAUACGGAUUUAUUGGGUUUAAAGGGUGCGUAGGCGGGGAGGUAAGUCAGCGGUGAAAUUCCCCCGCUCAACGGGGUGAAGGGCCAUUGAUACUGGCGUGCUGGAGUGCGCAUGCCGUGGGAGGAAUGUGUGGUGUAGCGGUGAAAUGCAUAGAUAUCACACAGAACACCGAUUGCGAAGGCAUCUCACGGAUCCGCGAUUGACGCUGAUGCACGAAAGCGUGGGUAUCAAACAGGAUUAGAUACCCGGGUAGUC